This 403-nucleotide ribosomal RNA is filed under the name uncultured bacterium. Its description in RNAcentral is "bacterial SSU rRNA". It matches the Rfam family "Bacterial small subunit ribosomal RNA", at positions 975 to 1375 of the family's 1533-position model. The record is from RNAcentral.
CAGCUCUUGACAUCUGGGUCGCGGUUACCGGAGACGGUAUCCUUCAGUUCGGCUGGACCCGAGACAGGUGCUGCAUGGCUCUCGUCAGCUCGUGUCGUGAGAUGUUGGGUUAAGUCCCGCAACGAGCGCAACCCUCGCCCUUAGUUGCCAGCAUUCAGUUGGGCACUCUAAGGGGACUGCCGGUGAUAAGCCGAGAGGAAGGUGGGGAUGACGUCAAGUCCUCAUGGCCCUUACGGGCUGGGCUACACACGUGCUACAAUGGUGGUGACAGUGGGCAGCGAGGCCGCGAGGCCGAGCUAAUCUCCAAAAGCCAUCUCAGUUCGGAUUGCACUCUGCAACUCGAGUGCAUGAAGUUGGAAUCGCUAGUAAUCGCGGAUCAGCAUGCCGCGGUGAAUACGUUCCC